RNAcentral lists this ribosomal RNA (591 nucleotides) under archaeon. Its description in RNAcentral is "bacterial SSU rRNA". It matches the Rfam family "Archaeal small subunit ribosomal RNA", at positions 887 to 1478 of the family's 1478-position model. The record is from RNAcentral.
GGUGCGGCGUGCGGUUUAAUCUAACUCCACGCAGAGAAUCUCACCAGCAGCGACGGCAGAAUGAAGGUCAGUCUGAAGGGCUUACCUGACGAGCCGAGAGGUAGUGCAUGGCCGUCGUCAGCUCGUGCCGUAAGGUGUCCUCUUAAGUGAGGUAACGAGCGAGACCCAUACCCUUAAUUGCUAGCAUGUCCUUUUGGAUGAAUGAGCACAUUAAGGGGACUGCCCUGGAAACGGGGAGGAAGGUGUGGGCAACGGUAGGUCUGUAUGCUCCGAAUCUGCUGGGCUACACGCGCGCAACAAUGGCGAGGACAAUGGGAUGCCACACCGAAAGGUGAAGCUAAACCUCGAAACCUCGUCCAAGUCUAGAUCGAGGAUUGUAAUUCAUCCUCGUGACAACGGAAUCCCUAGUAAUCGGAUUUUAUCAUGGUCCGGUGAAUAUGUCCCUGCUCCUUGCACACACCGCCCGUCAAACCAAUCGAGUGGGGUUUUGGUGAGACCUAGCUUUUAGUUAGUUCGAGCCUAAGUCCCGCGAGGUGGGUUAAGUCGUCACAAGGUAGCCGUAGGGGAACCUACGGCUGGAUCACCUCCUUU